CACGUAGGGUGCGAGCGUUGUCCGGAAUUAUUGGGCGUAAAGAGCUCGUAGGCGGUGUGUCGCGUCGGCCGUGAAAACCUGCAGCUUAACUGUGAGCUUGCGGUCGAUACGGGCAUCACUGGAGUUCGGCAGGGGAGACUGGAAUUCCUGGUGUAGCGGUGAAAUGCGCAGAUAUCAGGAGGAACACCGGUGGCAAAGGCGGGUCUCUGGGCCGAUACUGACGCUGAGGAGCGAAAGCGUGGGGAGCGAACAGG
This 254-nucleotide ribosomal RNA is filed under the name uncultured bacterium. Its description in RNAcentral is "partial 16S ribosomal RNA". It matches the Rfam family "Bacterial small subunit ribosomal RNA", at positions 524 to 776 of the family's 1533-position model. The record is from RNAcentral.